GCUUAUCCUGUACUUUUCUGACAUUACAUCCUCAUCUUCUGUGUAAUAAUCAAGCUUAUUCUCUUUUAGAUACUGGAGUUAAGUACCGUGCUAUUUUAACUGUGGUUUGGGCUGGAGAAGAGUCCCUUGGCAUCCUGAGGAAAAUUAUGCUUAGGCG
This 157-nucleotide long non-coding RNA is filed under the name Phasianus colchicus (ring-necked pheasant). RNAcentral's name for it is "lncRNA (ENSPCLG00000013577.1)". Lineage: Eukaryota; Metazoa; Chordata; Aves; Galliformes; Phasianidae. The record is from RNAcentral.